UUUCAGCUAGCAGAACAAUUUAAACCUUUACAAUCUUGGACUCUGGGUCUAGAUGUGGAUACCCACACAUAUGAUAUCUACAGCAUUUCAAAGAACAAUGAACAUCAUGGGAAUGAGAAUCAGGCAAAGGUAAAUGGAAAGACUUUAAUGAGCUAAGGUCUGCAAUUAUGAAAGAGCUACAGGCAAAUGUCAGCACACAGAGAAGAUACACUCGGUUCAUAUUUGGACUACACUUCAGAAUUGUUCUUCCGCACAAUGGAAUUUUACAAGUCUGUGUGUCAACCCAAGGAUUCCCU
Molecule: long non-coding RNA, 296 nt
Organism: Melospiza melodia melodia
Lineage: Eukaryota; Metazoa; Chordata; Aves; Passeriformes; Passerellidae
Exons: 3
Source: RefSeq, a predicted model, not a curated record